GGCGAACGCUGGCGGCGUGCCUAAUACAUGCAAGUCGAACGAGAGCAACCGGUGCUUGCACUGGUCAAUCUAGUGGCGAACGGGUGAGUAACACGUGGGUAACCUGCCCAUCAGAGGGGGAUAACAUCCGGAAACGGAUGCUAAAACCGCAUAGGUCUUCGAACCGCAUGGUUUGAAGAGGAAAAGAGGCGCAAGCUUCUGCUGAUGGAUGGACCCGCGGUGCAUUAGCUAGUUGGUGAGGUAACGGCUCACCAAGGCCGUGAUGCAUAGCCGACCUGAGAGGGUGAUCGGCCACAUUGGGACUGAGACACGGCCCAAACUCCUACGGGAGGCAGCAGUAGGGAAUCUUCCGCAAUGGACGCAAGUCUGACGGAGCAACGCCGCGUGAGUGAAGAAGGUUUUCGGAUCGUAAAACUCUGUUGUUAGAGAAGAACAAGUGCUAGAGUAACUGUUAGCGCCUUGACGGUAUCUAACCAGAAAGCCACGGCUAACUACGUG
This 498-nucleotide ribosomal RNA is filed under the name uncultured bacterium. Its description in RNAcentral is "partial 16S ribosomal RNA". It matches the Rfam family "Bacterial small subunit ribosomal RNA", at positions 28 to 507 of the family's 1533-position model. The record is from RNAcentral.